CAAUUCUGGGGCCGGUGACAAAAACCGUCCGGGCGAAAAGCAGGCGCUUCAAGUGGAGGCUAAAACACGGUCCUCUCACAUUCCAUUGCGUAGCAAGGGGGGAUUUAGGGAGACUUAUUUCCUUAAAACUGUCCUCCCAUCCACAGAGCGCCCAGUCUGCUCUGAUCAAGUUGAUAUAGAAAAAUUCAGCCAGGGUAUAGGGAAUACUACACGAGGCGGACUAACCGAAGAUUUGGCCCUUAUAUAUUAUUACAGAUAUAAUACUAAUUCCUGGUGGUGUAUUUUUAAAAAAAGUUAAUAGAUUUAAAUAUCAGCCAUGUUAAGACAUGCUGUUGUGGCUGGAACACAUCGACAGAGACAAUACCAUCCCUGCAGGAGUUUGGUGACAUCCGACUUAUUUCAGUGGAUGCAUUUUUACUGCACCCUUGAAUUGACUGGAGAACUCAGUCGGCCUCUUACACUUCAGGAGAAAAUCAACGCCAACUGUUUUUAUCUCUCAAAGGGCCUCUGCAACAAACACAUGGAUUCCAUUAAAUACACUCUCCUUCAGACCAUCAACAUGACGGAGCAAAGUCCAGAUCCACGGAGAUCCAACAAGGACAAAUGAUACAAGGAGAAAGAUGCCUCUCAGCAGACACACUGACUUGAUGUUCAUUAGCUUACUGUAUGAGCAAGUUUUGCUUUCCAAUAUAACUUAUGAUUGCUAUGAUUUUUUAAAUUAAAAUGCACUUUAUGUAAAAUGUAUUGUUGAUAUAUGUUGCUACCAUUAUUAAUGAUAUUCAAUAUAUUUUAAAUCAUGUCCCUUGCAUUCAAACUAAGUGUUUGUGGUUUUCACCAACCCAGGAGACUGUAACAUUAUGGCUGACUUAUCCUCCAACCCCAGCGGUGUGUAAAUAAAGAUAUCUAUGUUGAUGUAACUGUCAAGCAGUCUCUUCCUCCACUCCUAGACAUCCUGUGGACCUGGGCUUACAUACAGUACAUGCUCUCUCUCUCCUCUCUCUCUCUCUCUCUCUCUCUCUCUCCUCUCUCUCUCUCUCUCUCUCUCUCUCUCUCUCUCCUCUCUCUCUCUCUCUCUCUCUCUCUCUCUCUCUCCUUUUCUCUCUCUCUCUCUCUCUUUCUCUCUCUUCUCUCUCUCUCUUCUCUUUCUCUUCUCUCUCUUUCUCUCCUCUCUCGCUCCUCUCUCUCUCUCUCUUUCUCUCUUUCUCUCGUUCUCUCUCUCUCUCUCUCUCUCACUCUCUUUCUCUCUCUCUGAGGCUUUCUCUCAAGGCCACCCACCCAGUGCUAGGCUAGCUCACUCUCUCUCUCUGGAGGCUGAGGUGUCUGGUAAAACCUGGUGUGGUAAAACCUGCCCUGCAGACUGGACCUCUCUCCGUUACAGAGUUCAAAGGAGUAAGAACUAAAUGUGGAGGAUUUGUUCAGGCUUAUUUGGUAACCCAGGAUUUGAAUUGGAUUCCGGGAAGCAUUCUUAACACAUUUGAAAAUGUAACAUUGUGUGAAAAAAAGUGUGUAAUCCCCAUAAUACAUUUGAGAAAUGGGCCCAGCGUGCUAACACAACUGUGACUAUUCAUGAUUUCUAUCAAAUGCUUUCUUGUCUUGACUCUCUGGAGUGAGGUGAGUUUUGGAGGGAUUGGUGAGAUCUCAGGCAUUGGGAGAGCCAGUUAAGUAGUGGUUCUUCCAUAUUAACCUCUCUCUCAGCGCUGUUUUGGUUAUCUGACCUGAAUAUGAGAUGGAGGUCAGCCACCAUGUUCCUUGAGGUAUUCUCUUAGGCCCCCCAACAGCAGUGGAGCAUUUAAACCCCCAGUAGAUUAUACCUCCCUGGAAGGAAUGUGAGUAACACACACACACACACACACACACAGACACACACACACAUUGUACUUUGUGUCUCAAAUAUAGUAACUGUUUUUAAGACAGUGAAAUAUUUCAAACUUGGUUUCCCAUCAGAGUCAUGGUCUCUACCCUGUUUGAAUACAUUGUCU
RNAcentral lists this long non-coding RNA (1979 nucleotides) under Salmo trutta (river trout). Its description in RNAcentral is "lncRNA (ENSSTUG00000016482.1)". The record is from RNAcentral. Lineage: Eukaryota; Metazoa; Chordata; Actinopteri; Salmoniformes; Salmonidae.